GGGUGGCUAGCUCAGUUGGUAGAGCAACCGGCUCUUAACCGGUAGGCCCAUGGUUCGAUCCCAUGCCCACCCA
This 73-nucleotide transfer RNA is filed under the name Pseudomonas putida. RNAcentral's name for it is "tRNA-Lys". It matches the Rfam family "tRNA". From Rfam's summary of the family: Transfer RNA (tRNA) molecules are approximately 80 nucleotides in length. Their secondary structure includes four short double-helical elements and three loops (D, anti-codon, and T loops). Lineage: Bacteria; Pseudomonadati; Pseudomonadota; Gammaproteobacteria; Pseudomonadales; Pseudomonadaceae. The record is from RNAcentral.